GCUUGUCUCAAAGAUUAAGCCAUGCAUGUCUAAGUACAAGCCUCAGUAAGGUGAAACCGCGAAUGGCUCAUUAAAUCACACCUAAUCUACUGGAAAGUUACUAGUUACUUGGAUAACUGAGGUAAUUCUAGAGCUAAUACAUGCGAAAAGACGCGACUCACGAAGCGUUGUAUUUAUUAGAUACAAAACCAAUGCGGGGCAACCCGGUAUAAGGUGUGCCCUAUCAACUGUCGACUGUGAUAUAGACGCUCACAGUGGUUUUGACGGGUAACGGGGAAUCAGGGUUCGAUUCCGGAGAGGGAGCCUUAAAAACGGCUACCACAUCCAAGGAAGGCAGCAGG
Molecule: ribosomal RNA, 341 nt
Filed under: uncultured fungus
Lineage: Eukaryota; Fungi
Description: partial small subunit ribosomal RNA
Rfam family: Eukaryotic small subunit ribosomal RNA
Source: RNAcentral